RNAcentral lists this antisense RNA (69 nucleotides) under Micromonospora halophytica. RNAcentral describes it as "ASpks TB sRNA". It matches the Rfam family "ASpks TB sRNA". The record is from Rfam by way of RNAcentral. Lineage: Bacteria; Bacillati; Actinomycetota; Actinomycetes; Micromonosporales; Micromonosporaceae.
CUUCACCGAGCCGAGCAGCAGCGGCUCCGUACGCUCCUGCCCGUAGGUGGCCAGGAGCGCCUGCGCCUC